GCCCUGGUAGUGUAGAGGCCUAUCAUACGAGGUUGUCGACCUUGUGACCCGGGUUCGAAUCCCGGCCAGGGCG
Molecule: transfer RNA, 73 nt
Filed under: Candidatus Woesearchaeota archaeon
Lineage: Archaea; Nanobdellati; Candidatus Woesearchaeota
Description: tRNA-Asp
Rfam family: tRNA
About the family: Transfer RNA (tRNA) molecules are approximately 80 nucleotides in length.
Source: RNAcentral